GCUGGCUGGUGGGGUAACGGCCCACCAGGGCGACGAUGGCUAGGGGGUCUGAGAGGACGAUCCCCCACACUGGUACUGAGACACGGACCAGACUCCUACGGGAGGCAGCAGUGAGGAAUAUUGGUCAAUGGGCGGAAGCCUGAACCAGCCAUGCCGCGUGCAGGAUGACGGCCCUACGGGUUGUAAACUGCUUUUCCCCGGGGCGAAUAACCCCCUCGCGAGGGGGGAUGCCGGUACCGGGGGAAUAAGGAUCGGCUAACUCCGUGCCAGCAGCCGCGGUAAUACGGAGGAUCCGAGCGUUAUCCGGAUUUACUGGGUUUAAAGGGUGCGUAGGCGGGUGGCUCAGUCGGCGGUGAAAUGCAGCGGCUCAACCGUUGCCCUGCCGUCGAAACUGGCCGCCUUGAAUUCGGUCGAGGCCGGCGGAAUGCGCGGUGUAGCGGUGAAAUGCUUAGAUAUCGCGCGGAACGCCGAUUGCGGAGGCAGCUGGCUGGACCGAGAUUGACGCUGAUGCACGACAGCGUGGGGAUCGAACAGGAUUAGAUACCCUGGUAGUCCACGCCGUAAACGAUGAUGGCUGGGUGUUGGCGAUACACUGUCAGCGCCUGA
RNAcentral lists this ribosomal RNA (606 nucleotides) under uncultured bacterium. Its description in RNAcentral is "bacterial SSU rRNA". It matches the Rfam family "Bacterial small subunit ribosomal RNA", at positions 244 to 850 of the family's 1533-position model. The record is from RNAcentral.